RNAcentral lists this unclassified non-coding RNA (82 nucleotides) under Candidatus Mikella endobia. RNAcentral describes it as "cspA". The record is from RNAcentral. Lineage: Bacteria; Pseudomonadati; Pseudomonadota; Gammaproteobacteria; Enterobacterales; Enterobacteriaceae.
AGUAAAGAUGUAUUUGUUCAUUUUUCUGCUAUUCAAGGUAAUGGAUUUAAAACAUUAGUUGAAGGUCAAAAUGUAGAAUUUG